CAGAGGUGGGAUUAUACCAGCAAAGACAUUGCUAAUUUGAACUGAAGAGAGCACAGUGAAAGUGAGAUGGAGUGAAGGGAACCUGCCGGACGUCUUGGUAUCCAUAAUACCAAACCACACGGCUCUUUGUGCCCAUCAGGUGAUCCUUCAGGAAAAGGAGAAUGGCUCUGAAGGGGUCAGAAGUCAUAGGACUGACCACAUUCCAUUUUUGAGAGGCCAUGCCGCUGCAACAGAGAGCCUUAGGAGCAGGGUCACUGGGAGCUUUGGGAACAAGCUCGCUCAAACCUUGGAAGCCAGACUUCUCAGCAAACCCUUGGGGCCAAAGCAAUGUGUAUGGAAGGUUUUAAUGAGGGGCUAAAAUGAAAAGGACAAUGCAAAAUGUCUGCAGGUGGAUGUCAAGAUUGUCAGCGCUGGCUUCUAUCUCUGCAUCUUUCUGGAUUAAUCCUUUUAUACAUCACACGUCUCUUGGAUGGAAUGAGAUGGGGCUGAGUGUCCCUGGCAGGAUUGCUGACUCCGAACACUUAUGCAAUGAAUGAGGAAAAACAGAAAGAAAGAAAGUUGGAAGGACAUGGAGGAAGGUAUCAUUAUAUUCUCAGAAUUGUACCUAUGAACUACACUGAAUGUGUUCUCUUGGUAUUACUAUCACAUUAACAUGAGAAUUGAUGAGGAUAUUGUUCUAAGUAUUACACAGUUUCUGUGACCCUGAGAAUCUAAUGUA
Non-coding RNA from Oryctolagus cuniculus (rabbit), 718 nucleotides. The record is from RefSeq and is a predicted model, not a curated record. Lineage: Eukaryota; Metazoa; Chordata; Mammalia; Lagomorpha; Leporidae.